Molecule: ribosomal RNA, 301 nt
Filed under: uncultured bacterium
Lineage: Bacteria
Description: partial 16S ribosomal RNA
Rfam family: Bacterial small subunit ribosomal RNA
Source: RNAcentral
CAGUAGCCGCGGAAUACGGAGGGUGCAAGCGUUAAUCGGAAUUACUGGGCGUAAAGCGUGCGUAGGCGGUGAGUUAAGUCUGCUGUGAAAUCCCCGGGCUCAACCUGGGAAUGGCAGUGGAUACUGGCUCGCUAGAGUGUGUCAGAGGAUGGUGGAAUUCCCGGUGUAGCGGUGAAAUGCGUAGAGAUCGGGAGGAACAUCAGUGGCGAAGGCGGCCAUCUGGGACAACACUGACGCUGAGGCACGAAAGCGUGGGGAGCAAACAGGAUUAGAUACCCCCGUAGUCCCUGUCUCUUAUACA